UGUAUUCACUACUGUAAGUCGCUCUGGAUAAGAGCGUCUGCAAAAUGUAAAUCU
This is a non-coding RNA of Salmo salar (Atlantic salmon), 54 nucleotides long. The record is from Rfam. Lineage: Eukaryota; Metazoa; Chordata; Actinopteri; Salmoniformes; Salmonidae.